Molecule: ribosomal RNA, 253 nt
Filed under: uncultured bacterium
Lineage: Bacteria
Description: partial 16S ribosomal RNA
Rfam family: Bacterial small subunit ribosomal RNA
Source: RNAcentral
UACGGAGGGUGCGAGCGUUGUCCGGAAUCACUGGGCGUAAAGGGCGCGUAGGCGGCCUGAUAAGUAGGGGGUGAAAUCCUGCGGCUUAACCGCAGGGCUGCCUUCUAAACUGUCAGGCUGGAGCACAGUAGAGGCAGGUGGAAUUCCCGGUGUAGCGGUGGAAUGCGUAGAGAUCGGGAAGAACAUCAGUGGCGAAGGCGGUCUGCUGGGCCGUUGCUGACGCUGAGGCGCGACAGCGUGAGGAGCAAACAGG